RNAcentral lists this ribosomal RNA (1075 nucleotides) under Shiraia sp. zzz816. Its description in RNAcentral is "SSU rRNA". It matches the Rfam family "Eukaryotic small subunit ribosomal RNA", at positions 49 to 1136 of the family's 1831-position model. The record is from RNAcentral. Lineage: Eukaryota; Fungi; Ascomycota; Dothideomycetes; Pleosporales; Shiraiaceae.
CCCUGCAUUGUCUAAGUAUAAGCAAUUAUACCGUGAAACUGCGAAUGGCUCAUUAAAUCAGUUAUCGUUUAUUUGAUAGUACCUUACUACUUGGAUAACCGUGGUAAUUCUAGAGCUAAUACAUGCUUACAACCUCGACUUCGGAAGGGGUGUAUUUAUUAGAUAAAAAACCAACGCCCUUCGGGGCUUCUUGGUGAUUCAUGAUAACUUUACGGAUCGCAUGGCCUUGCGCCGGCGACGGUUCAUUCAAAUUUCUGCCCUAUCAACUUUCGAUGGUAAGGUAUUGGCUUACCAUGGUUUCAACGGGUAACGGGGAAUUAGGGUUCGAUUCCGGAGAGGGAGCCUGAGAAACGGCUACCACAUCCAAGGAAGGCAGCAGGCGCGCAAAUUACCCAAUCCCAAUACGGGGAGGUAGUGACAAUAAAUACUGAUACAGGGCUCUUUUGGGUCUUGUAAUUGGAAUGAGUACAAUUUAAACCUCUUAACGAGGAACAAUUGGAGGGCAAGUCUGGUGCCAGCAGCCGCGGUAAUUCCAGCUCCAAUAGCGUAUAUUAAAGUUGUUGCAGUUAAAAAGCUCGUAGUUGAACCUUGGGUCUGGCUGGCAGGUCCGCCUCACCGCGUGUACUUGUCCGGCCGGGCCUUCCUUCUGGAGAACCUCAUGCCCUUCACUGGGCGUGUUGGGGACCAGGACUUUUACUUUGAAAAAAUUAGAGUGUUCAAAGCAGGCCUUUGCUCGAAUACGUUAGCAUGGAAUAAUAGAAUAGGACGUGCGGUCCUAUUUUGUUGGUUUCUAGGACCGCCGUAAUGAUUAAUAGGGACAGUCGGGGGCAUCAGUAUUCAAUUGUCAGAGGUGAAAUUCUUGGAUUUAUUGAAGACUAACUACUGCGAAAGCAUUUGCCAAGGAUGUUUUCAUUAAUCAGUGAACGAAAGUUAGGGGAUCGAAGACGAUCAGAUACCGUCGUAGUCUUAACCGUAAACUAUGCCGACUAGGGAUCGGGCGAUGUUAUUUUUCUGACUCGCUCGGCACCUUACGAGAAAUCAAAGUUUUUGGGUUCUGGGGGGAGUAAGUCCAACU